UACGUAGGGGGCAAGCGUUGUCCGGAUUUAUUGGGCGUAAAGAGCGUGUAGGCGGCCGCACAGGUCCGUUGUGAAAACUGGAGGCUUAACCUUCAGACGUCGAUGGAAACCGUGCGGCUAGAGUCCGGAAGAGGAGAAUGGAAUUCCUGGUGUAGCGGUGAAAUGCGCAGAUAUCAGGAAGAACACCCGUGGCUAAGGCGGUUCUCUAGUACGGUACUGACGCUGAGACGCGAAAGCGUGGGUAGCAAACAGG
RNAcentral lists this ribosomal RNA (253 nucleotides) under uncultured bacterium. RNAcentral's name for it is "partial 16S ribosomal RNA". It matches the Rfam family "Bacterial small subunit ribosomal RNA", at positions 524 to 776 of the family's 1533-position model. The record is from RNAcentral.